This 172-nucleotide non-coding RNA is filed under the name Desulfobacter sp. The record is from RNAcentral. Lineage: Bacteria; Pseudomonadati; Thermodesulfobacteriota; Desulfobacteria; Desulfobacterales; Desulfobacteraceae.
UUUAAUAUUGUGAUAUCUGGUACAAGAAGUUUAAAAGGGGAAACCGGUGUGAGUCCGGUGCGGUCCCGCCACUGUAUUGGGGAGUUUUCUUAGAUUAGGCCACUAGUAGAUUGGGUGGUGUAAGAAAAUGAAGAACCUAAGUCAGGAUACCUGCCAGUUAAUGGUUAUGAAA